AAUGAACGCUGGCGGCAUGCCUAACACAUGCAAGUCGAACGACAGCGCGGGCUUCGGUCUCGCGGCGAGUGGCGAACGGGUGGGUAAUGCAUCGGAACGUGCCCUGUCUCGGGGGAUUGCCCGGCGAAAGCCGGAUUAAUCUCGCAUCCGACCAGAUAUUGAAAGGGGGGGGCCGAAAGUCCUCGCGGCUUUUGAGCGGGCGAUGUCGGAUUAGCUAGUUGGAGGGGUAAAGGGUUACCAAGGCGACGAUCCGUAGCUGGUCUGAGAGGACGACCAGCCACACGGGGACUGAGACACGGCCCAGACUCCGACGGGAGGCAGCAGUGGGGAAUCUUGCGCAAUGGGGGAAAGCCUGAUCCAGCAAUGCCGCGUGAGGGAUGAAGGCCUUCGGGUGGUAAAGCGCUGUUGUUCGGGAAGAAAUAAUGUGGGCUUAUCCGAGGGGGUGAUGACGGUACCGGAAGAAUAAGCACCGGCUAACUACGUG
Molecule: ribosomal RNA, 484 nt
Filed under: uncultured bacterium
Lineage: Bacteria
Description: partial 16S ribosomal RNA
Rfam family: Bacterial small subunit ribosomal RNA
Source: RNAcentral